UGAGAGCUGGUGUAGUGGUUUGAAUGUUGGACUGCAACUCUGGAGUCCAGGAUUCGAUUCCCAGCUCAG
Molecule: non-coding RNA, 69 nt
Organism: Phrynosoma platyrhinos (Desert horned lizard)
Lineage: Eukaryota; Metazoa; Chordata; Lepidosauria; Squamata; Phrynosomatidae
Source: the annotation of a GenBank genome assembly